RNAcentral lists this ribosomal RNA (435 nucleotides) under uncultured bacterium. Its description in RNAcentral is "partial 16S ribosomal RNA". It matches the Rfam family "Bacterial small subunit ribosomal RNA", at positions 28 to 507 of the family's 1533-position model. The record is from RNAcentral.
GAUGAACGCUGGCGGUAUGCUUAACACAUGCAAGUCGAACGGACUCUUCGGAGUUAGUGGCGGACGGGUGAGUAACGCGUGAGAAUCUGGCUUUGGGUUCGGGACAACCACUGGAAACGGUGGCUAAUACCGGAUGUGCCGAGAGGUAAAAGAGAAAUUGCCUGAAGAUGAGCUCGCGUCUGAUUAGCUAGUUGGUGAGGUAAAGGCUCACCAAGGCAGCGAUCAGUAGCUGGUCUGAGAGGAUGACCAGCCACACUGGGACUGAGACACGGCCCAGACUCCUACGGGAGGCAGCAGUGGGGAAUUUUCCGCAAUGGGCGAAAGCCUGACGGAGCAAUACCGCGUGAGGGAAGAAGGCUCUUGGGUUGUAAACCUCUUUUCUUAGGGAAGAACAAAAUGACGGUACCUAAGGAAUCAGCAUCGGCUAACUACGUG